UUAAAGCAAUGGAAAGGCAGACCAAUAGAUUAAUUGAAAAAUAUUCAUUGCAAAAUAUUUUAGAUAUUCUAUGCUAAUUAUUGGUAAAACUGAUUUUCUUCUCCCCUUUUUUUCAGUGUUGAUUGUCAUUUGAUUGUGAGCUAACUACAGCCCAAAGGCUCUUUUAAGAGCCACAAGCACUGAGGAUCUUUGGCUUUAUUCUUUGUCAGGAUCAAUCCUGAAGAGGGCACAAAGUGCACUGCAAAAUUCGGUACAAGCCGUAAGACAGGUGGAACUGUACAA
Molecule: long non-coding RNA, 282 nt
Organism: Cyprinus carpio (common carp)
Lineage: Eukaryota; Metazoa; Chordata; Actinopteri; Cypriniformes; Cyprinidae
Exons: 3
Source: RefSeq, a predicted model, not a curated record